Molecule: long non-coding RNA, 1186 nt
Organism: Astatotilapia calliptera (eastern happy)
Lineage: Eukaryota; Metazoa; Chordata; Actinopteri; Cichliformes; Cichlidae
Source: Ensembl
GUUCUGCUGUUCUCUGCUGCAAACAUCAUUUUAAAAUGAGCAAUGCAUGAACAAUAAGCUUUCCCAAGAUGCCUGUUCAUCUUGCAGCUACCUUUGACCCACAACAUGACCCACUCCAUGAACUUUGACGCCUCCAGUCAUCAGUAGUAUACACAGAAAAAAAUGUGUGGGUAGUAAGACAAUAUGUGUGGAAGAGAGAAGUAGAGAUGAGCAGUCUGGAGCUUACGAACCCUCUGAGACCUCAUUAACUAGGGAGCUUUCACCACUUGAUGUCAUCUGAUAGGAUCUGCUGACUGAUGCUCGUAGCACAAGUGGGUGGCCACACUCCAAACUUAGUUGUUUUUAGUUUAGUUCACUGAAAAACAUUUGACAGUGGCUGCUGUUUGCAAAGUUACCGUAUAUUUGGCAUUCUGCAAGUCAAAAGGUGUUUGAUGACGUAGACACAUGCAUAGCUGGACUGGCCAUCGGGCAUACCGGGCAUUUGCCCGGUGGGCCGCUGGCGAUUUUUUGUUUUUAUGGGCCGAUGGAUAUUUUUUUUUUUUUUUUUUUUUUUUUUUUUUUUUAGGAAGGGUAUAUAUAAUGAAAGGUGUUGGAUUGGCCAAUUGGUCAUGAUUGACUCUGGGCUGGACCAAUUACAGCCGAGGAGGCUGGAUGCACCCUCCCCCUUGUUUAGCAAUCAAGUGAUUUUCGCGCAUUGCAUGCCGGGAACUCGUGGCAAAACAAUCCAAGUACCGCAUUAAAUGCAAGCAUUUGCAGCACCGCAAAACGUUCAUUCUCCGGUUCCAAUACCUUCUUUUUUUUUCUUUGCCGCACAAAAAAGGAAUGUACAAAACAAAAGGAGAACAAUGCCGGUCCGUACAAAGACAGACUCGACGAAAAGACAAAGAAAAGAUACGAGGAAAAAAUCAAAGGAGUGAAAGGGUCAGACCCUUACGAGCACACAGAGUGGACAAAAGACGUCAGUGUGCUGCCAACUUUCACCACGCUCAGAUUUAUAAUUACACGGUUCUUGGAGUGAGUGCAUACACUCAUGAAGUUUAGUAACUUCAGGUCACUGCAACAAGCCCAGGUACAGUUUACCGACGGAUGGGUGCAGGACCUUGAAAUGCACCGUGUAGGACGAAAGACUAUUGUACGUAUCAUAAGUUUACCAGUCUCACAAAUCGUCUUCAUAAAUACACAUUCA